UAUAGCUGGAUAACAGGGUCUUUCAUUUUAGCCACCUGUAUUUCUGGCCUUGCCUGCUUUUUGUAAAGUCUGAGCCUUGGCCGAAAGGUGGGCACAGUGACCUGAAGAACAUUGAUCGUUAAGCUAAACGGCUAAAUAAAAAGCAGGGAGCAUAUAAAUGUCCACAUCAGAUUCAAGCUUCUGCGAAAAGUCGCAUCGAUCAUGGCGGAUGUCUGGAUAUUCUAACUGCGCAACAACGAGAAAGAAGAAACGGGGAUGUUCUCAAGCGACUAUUUCGCCAUGCAAUAAUAGGCUUUUAGAGGACACGACGAGAGGGAAAGUUCCGCUAAAAAGUGCAACUACAGCGGCUGCUGGUGGCUGGCCCGCUCCAGGAGUCUGAGGUGCGGGAAGUUCCUCCACCCCCUCUAGACAUCGGGGGGCCCCGGCGUACUCCGUUCGCUCCAUACUGGAUUUGAGGCGUCGGGCGAGGGGCCUUCAGUAUCUCGUGGAGUGGGAGGGGUACGGUCUGGAGGAGAGGUGCUGGGUUCCGGUCGAGGACAUGUUGGACCCUUCAAUGCUGCAGGAGUUCCACCGUCUUCGCCCGGGUCGCCCUGCGCCUCGACCUCCGGGUCGUCCCCGAGGCCGGUGUCGACGCACUGCUGGAGCCGCGUCAAGGGGGGGAGUACUGUCACGACUUCCGCCGAAGUUGGUCCCUCUCCUUGUUCGUUCGGCGUUCGAAGUCACUGACCUUCUAGCCAUCGCUAAUCCACUUUUCAUUUUCUAUUGUUUUUGUCUUGUCUUCCAUCACACCUGGUUCCAAUUCCAUCAAUUACACGUUGUGUAUUUAACCCUCUGUUCCCCCUCAUGUCCUUGUCGGUAAUGGUUUCUGGUAGUGCUUUAGCACGGUAUGCUGGUAUUUACCAGGUCUUGUUUGACUCAUUUAUUGUAUUGUUCUGUUGACGGUGGUUUCUGGAUAUUAAAGGACACUGUUGUAA
Oncorhynchus nerka (sockeye salmon) is the source of this 974-nucleotide long non-coding RNA. RefSeq lists it as uncharacterized. The transcript has 2 exons. The record is from RefSeq and is a predicted model, not a curated record. NCBI's taxonomy places the organism in Eukaryota, Metazoa, Chordata, Actinopteri, Salmoniformes, Salmonidae.